AGAGUUUGAUCCUGGCUCAGAAUCAACGCUGGCGGCGUGCCUAACACAUGCAAGUCGCACGAGAAAGGGGAGCAAUCCCUGAGUACAGUGGCGCACGGGUGAGUAACACGUGAAUAAUCUACCUCCGAGUGGGGAAUAACUGAGAGAAAUCUUAGCUAAUACCGCAUAACACUUACGAGUCAAAGCAGCAAUGCGCUUGGAGAGGAGUUCGCGGCCGAUUAGUUAGUUGGCGGGGUAAUGGCCCACCAAGACGAUGAUCGGUAUCCGGCCUGAGAGGGCGCACGGACACACUGGAACUGAAACACGGUCCAGACUCCUACGGGAGGCAGCAGUGGGGAAUUUUGCGCAAUGGGGGAAACCCUGACGCAGCAACGCCGCGUGGAGGAUGAAAUAUCUUGGUAUGUAAACUCCUUUCGAUGGGGAAGAUUAUGACGGUACCCAUAGAAGAAGCCCCGGCUAACUUCGUGCCAGCAGCCGCGGUAAUACGAGGGGGGCAAGCGUUGUUCGGAUUUAUUGGGCGUAAAGGGUGCGUAGGCGGUUUGGCAAGUCUUAUGUGAAAUCUAUGGGCUCAACCCAUAGUCUGCAUAAGAAACUGCCGGGCUUGAGUAUGGGAGAGGUGAGUGGAAUUUCCGGUGUAGCGGUGAAAUGCGUAGAUAUCGGAAGGAACACCUGUGGCGAAAGCGGCUCACUGGACCAUAACUGACGCUGAUGCACGAAAGCUAGGGGAGCAAACAGGAUUAGAUACCCUAGUAGUCC
RNAcentral lists this ribosomal RNA (756 nucleotides) under uncultured bacterium. RNAcentral describes it as "bacterial SSU rRNA". It matches the Rfam family "Bacterial small subunit ribosomal RNA", at positions 8 to 796 of the family's 1533-position model. The record is from RNAcentral.